Molecule: long non-coding RNA, 245 nt
Filed under: Trifolium pratense (red clover)
Lineage: Eukaryota; Viridiplantae; Streptophyta; Magnoliopsida; Fabales; Fabaceae
Description: long non-coding RNA (TPRA_LNC009344)
Source: RNAcentral
UGAAAGAAAAAAAAAAAAGAGAUAUAUGAUGUGAUUAAUUGAUACAAUGGUGAAAAAUACACUUGUGCAUAGUAGACAAAGACUUAUUUUUCAUCCUUUUAGCUAUAGUUAUGAUUAAGAUUAAUUAGAGAUGUAAAUGAAUUGAUGCUAUUAGCUAUUCAUGAAUAAAUAAAUUUGUUUUGUUUAGUGCUUGAUAAAUGAAUUGUAAGUGCAAGGUUUGAUCUCCACAAAGUACUAGUUUUUGG